AUUCAGCUGAUGAAUCCCAAAUAGAGCGAAAUGCAUAUGCUGGAU
This 45-nucleotide non-coding RNA is filed under the name Trichobilharzia regenti. Lineage: Eukaryota; Metazoa; Platyhelminthes; Trematoda; Strigeidida; Schistosomatidae. The record is from RNAcentral.